UACGGGGGGGGCGAGCGUUGUUCGGAAUUACUGGGCGUAAAGGGUGCGUAGGCGGUGCUCUAAGUCGGAUGUGAAAACUCUGGGCUCAACCCAGAGCCUGCAUCCGAAACUGGAGUGCUAGAGUUCUGGAGGGGGUAGCGGAAUUCCUGGUGUAGCGGUGAAAUGCGUAGAUAUCAGGAGGAACACUGGUGGCGAAGGCGGCUACCUGGACAGAAACUGACGCUGAGGCACGAAAGCUAGGGGAGCAAACAGG
Molecule: ribosomal RNA, 253 nt
Filed under: uncultured bacterium
Lineage: Bacteria
Description: partial 16S ribosomal RNA
Rfam family: Bacterial small subunit ribosomal RNA
Source: RNAcentral